RNAcentral lists this ribosomal RNA (494 nucleotides) under uncultured bacterium. RNAcentral describes it as "partial 16S ribosomal RNA". It matches the Rfam family "Bacterial small subunit ribosomal RNA", at positions 28 to 507 of the family's 1533-position model. The record is from RNAcentral.
GACGAACGCUGGCGGCGUGCUUGACACAUGCAAGUCGAACGGAAAGGCCUGCUUUCCCUUGUGGGUUGUGGGUACUCGGGUGGCGAACGAGUGAGUAACACGUGAGUUAUCUGCCCCUACCUUGUGUAUACGCCUGGGAGACUGUGUCUCAUUCCCGAUAGGACUUCAGGGUUGUUCGUUUUGUGGAAAACGAUUUUCUAGUGGUUGGGGAUGAGCUCGCGGCCUAUCAGCUUGUUGGUGGGGUGAUGGCCUACGAAGGCGGCGACGGGUAGCCGGGCUGGGAGGGUGGACGGCAACAGUGGGAAGGAGAGACGGAGCAGACUACUACGGGAGGCAGCAGGGGGGAAUAUUGCACGAGGGGAGGAAGGAUGAAGCAGCGACGCGGCGUGGGGGGUGACGGCCGGGGGGUGAUAAACUCCUGUCGGCCGAGAGGAAGCGACUUGGUUGGAAGGGUGGUGACGGUAGUGGUAGAAGAAGCGCCGGCUAACUACGUG